ACGGCCACUGCGGUCUCGUCAAGGACGGCCGUAUCCUCAAUGACGAGACCUUGGAUUGCCUUAAGAGAAUGGCUCUGAGCCAUGCACAAGCGGGAGCCGACAUGGUCGCUCCGUCGGACAUGAUGGACGGGCGCGUCGGGGUAAUCCGUGGAGCGCUGGAUGCGGAAGGGUUUGACCACGUUGCGAUAUUGGCAUACGCAGCAAAGUUUGCGUCAUGCCUGUAUGCCCCAUUUCGCGAAGCCGCAGCCUCCAGCCCCGCGUUUGGCGACCGCCAGACAUAUCAAUUGGACCCCGCAAAUUUUCGCGAAGCUCUGAAGGAAAUUAAGUCCGAUAUCGACGAGGGGGCGGAUAUUGUAAUGGUGAAGCCGGCGCUUCCGUAUCUGGAUGUGAUCCAUGCUGC
RNAcentral lists this unclassified non-coding RNA (400 nucleotides) under uncultured fungus. RNAcentral's name for it is "sequence contains ITS1". Lineage: Eukaryota; Fungi. The record is from RNAcentral.